Molecule: unclassified non-coding RNA, 354 nt
Filed under: soil metagenome
Description: partial contains 5.8S ribosomal RNA, internal transcribed spacer 2, and large subunit ribosomal RNA
Rfam family: 5.8S ribosomal RNA (bases 1-120)
Source: RNAcentral
GAUGAAGAACGUAGCGAAAUGCGAUAAGUAAUGCGAAUUGCAGAAUUCAGUGAAUCAUCGAAUCUUUGAACGCACAUUGCGCCCGCUAGUAUUCUGGCGGGCAUGCCUGUCUGAGCGUCAUUUCAACCCUCGCCCCCGGCUUUUGCUGGGAGCGGUGUUGGGGAUCGGCCGCCCGUCACUGGGAGGCCGGCCCCGAAAUAGAGUGGCGACCACGCCGUGUGCUCCUCUGCGUAGUAGUAAAUCACCUCGCAGGCGGACAGCGGUGCGGCCUGCCGUAAAACCCCCAACUCUUCUGGUUGACCUCAGAUCAGGUAGGAAUACCCGCUGAACUUAAGCAUAUCAAUAAGCGGAGGA